GGACCUGAGGUGAGGAGACGAAGGGACCUGAGGUGAGGAGACGAAGGCCCUGAGGUGAGGAGACGAAGGACCUGAGGUGAGGAGACGAAGGCCCUGAGGUGAGGAGACGAAGGCCCUGAGGUGAGGAGACGAAGGACCUGAGGUGAGGAGACGAAGGGACCUGAGGUGAGGAGACGAAGGGACCUGAGGUGAGGAGACGAAGGGACCUGAGGUGAGGAGACGAAGGACCUGAGGUGAGGAGACGAAGGGACCUGAGGUGAGGAGACGAAGGGACCUGAGGUGAGGAGACGAAGGCCCUGAGGUGAGGAGACGAAGGACCUGAGGUGAGGAGACGAAGGCCCUGAGGUGAGGAGACGAAGGGACCUGAGGUGAGGAGACGAAGGCCAACGAGAGCGUCCUGUUUGAUCUCUUCUGCAGGACUCGUCAUGUGAUCAGCAGGGACCAAUCGCACCUGCUCACCGGCAGCAAGCUCCUCCGCUCGCCUCCUCGGGACGGAAAUCAAGCAUCAAACAUCUUAAUUAAAGUCAUUCAUGAAAAUCGGUCGUUUAUUCCUCUGUUAUGAAAUGUGUUUCUCAGUCUAUAAUUAUUAGGGUUGAUCAGCACCUAAUAACCAAAAUAAAAGAACAUUUAGUUUAGAACAGAAACACACCUGACAGAGAGAUGUUACACGUUUAAUUAAAAUAAUGAAUUUAUUAUUCAUUAAAGGAUGCAUAAGAAUAAAAAGUGCCCGCUGACAUUUCCCCCCCUUCUCUCCUCGUUAAAGUCAACGUGUGAAAGCCGGACUUUUGCUGUGAUGAGUUUAUAGUUUCAUAACGAGUUUCUAAGAAAGAAAAAUGUUAAUAGAAGCUUUUAAUACGUCCCCUAAAUAUGGUUUUAAUAUGUUUGCAUGAGCCUGCCUGACGCUCCGCCCCCCCUGUGCUGCACCCAGAGCUCAUUUCUGUGUUUUACUUUAUCAACUUAUCAAACAGACCGACAGCCGCUUCCUGCAGACACGUUGGAAAUAAACAGUUUGAUGUCAUCAUGAAAUAAACAGUUUGAUGUCAUCAUGAAAUAAACAGUUUGAUGUCAUCAUGAAAUAAACAGUUUGAUGUCAUCAUGAAAUAAACAGUUUGAUGUCAUCAUGAAAUAAACAGUUUGCUGUCUUCAUGACAUGAAGAGUUUGCUGUCUUCAUGAGAUGAAGAGUUUGAUGAAGAGUUUGCUGUCUUCAUGAGAUGAAGAGUUUGAUGAAGAGUUUGCUGUCUUCAUGAGAGGAAGAGGCAUCAGGAUGAAACUGAAACGUUUUCUUCUUUCACAACGUGUUGAAAAUAAAGACGCAACGAGUCUCGUCUCUGAACUUCUCAUGCAAAUCCGCUGCAGCUUUAAAGAAGUCUUUACUGACAUUAAUCACAUGAUUUCCAUGACAUUUGCAUGUCAUUUGCAUGGACAGAGACAUUUCCCAAAGCUGCUCAUUGUCUUCAUGGACUCCGGACCUUCGUCCUUUAACUGCCGGGGUCGGAGGCUGUUAAACCGAACAGAAGAGGCCGAGAGCUUUGUAACCACCUGUGGUUCCACAAAGGCUCCGGUCUGAAAUGCUCACACCGGGUCAGUUUGGGAGGAAACGCCGCUUUACCCAUGAGCCUCGGCUGCUGCUGCUGCGGAGCAGAAGAAGAAGAAGAAGAAAUGAGGCAGUGGAGAGAUUUUAACCCAUGGAUGUUUAUCAGCAGAAUGAGAUGUUCUGUGAGGAGCUUUGUUAGUGAAAUGCAAUAAAAUGUAAUGUGUCAUAAGGCCGAUAUUUUCAAGUUACACUUGAAGAGUUUGACUUUAAAUAUGAAUCAUAGAAUUAUGUAUUUUUAUUUGUGAAAACAUGCAUCAUUCUGUAAAUUAUUUUAUGACUUCAAAGGAACACGUUUCUCUAUCAAGUGAAAAUAAUAUUGAUUUUAUUUGUUAUGAGAUUAAUUUGGAGGUUGAGAUGAUUUCAGAGGAAACACACACACACACAUACACACACACACACACACACACACACACAUAUUUCUAACAAACAUCCAGCAUUUUGUGUGAUGAAACGUUUUCUAGCUCUCUAUAAAUCUGCUGUGUGACUCAAUCUGUCCCAAUAAAUCUUCAAUAACAUCGUUAUUCAUUCUGUAAUUUGCAACUCGUUCUAAACUGUGUAAAUUUGCCCAAACCGGAUUUAGACAGAAAUAAAAAAACGAUCCGUUUUCAGUCAUUAAAAUGCUUCUUUGUGAGUCGUUGAGAUUUUCAUUUACAUCCAGACACAGACUUUGAUCUGAGUCCAGACCCCAACCCAGAUCAGAGGAGCGUUCCCUUAUCGGCCUCGUUCUGCUUCCUCCUCCCACUUCCUUCCUCCUCCUCCUCCUCCUCCCUGCAGCUGUCUGAGCGUCGGGGUCGAGGUCCUGAGGGGGGGUUGACACGUUAGUUGCUCACACAGUCGAUCAGCGCGACGGAGGAUGAAAGUCACUACCUGAAGUCGGGUGCUUUUAUUGUGGAGGGGUUAGCCACAGCGAGUGAUUCCUGCCACGCGCCGCUCAAUUACAGCCAGUAACCACUAAAUGCUGCUGAUUCACACACACACACACACACACACACACACACACGCGCACACACACACACACACACGCACACACAGUCUGAUUGAAAUGUCAUCAGUGGAGGAACAGGAAGAGAGCGCAGAGAAGAUGGUUUCUCCUUCUGACCUUUGACAUCUCUGCCACACUCCCCUUCCUGUUGACCCUCCUCCCCCUCAACAUCGUGACAGGACGUAGCUUGAAGUCACGUGGGCUGUGUGGUGGAGGUCAAAGGUCAGGUGGGGACUUUGUAACAUGAAAUGCCUCGCUGUGACUGGUCGUCAUCGCCACGGGAUCAGUGUUUCCAGCGUAAUCACAGUUUUGUGAUGACACUUCCUGUUGUGUUCCUGUUAUUCUGUCCACUCCUGCGUGCAGCGGCACACUGACAUUUACAAGUAAAAGUUUAACUUCCUUUUGCAGUUUUUUUGCAUCGUCAUCUCCAUAAAUAGAACGGAAGCAUUUCAAAAUAAAUCCCAGCAGCUUUGACUGGAGCUUCAGGAGACGAAUCCGCUGACUGAAGGUCGCACAGCGAGGACUCGCCUGACCUCAACUGUCCCCACGGAGACACGCCCGCAGGAGACCCGGCGUGACGCCAGCGCCGUCCGUCACGUGACCUCUGCGGCGACCGAACGGGCGAACGCAGCGAAGCUUCUCUCCCGUCAGAAGACAGUCCGACAGUUGAGGACAUUCCGUACCUGAGAGUCUUUGAUCCAAACCCGCAGGCCACGAGGCCUCAGACGGCCUUCAGAGGAAACACCCAGUGUGCGUCUGUGUGUGUGUGUCUGUGUGUGUCUGUCUGUGUGCGUGCAGCAUUUCAAACAUGCACCAAACUGUGUGUUUGAAUCCUUUUCAAUGGUUGAAUAAAUAAGAGGACCACAGUUGUUAUUUUGAUACAUCAAAGAGUCUCCUGAGGACCGUUACAUAUCAAAUACUUGCUGUGUAUAUUAGUACGUGUCCUCAUAUUGCCUCUCGUCCUUGGAUGGUGUCUGUCCACUGAUCUCUUCCUCUCAGCUUCAGGUCGCGGUCCCUGUGAAUGUCAACAAACGGGACAUUUGUCUUGAUGGGUGUGAGACGAAGUGAGAGGGACAGAAGGAGACAGAGAACGUGAGCAGGAUGUCUGCCGCCAUCAUUAUUUCACAUUCCAGCUGCGGCUCAUUGUCCGCCUCGGGGACGUUUGUCCCCCGGCCGUCCUCGGGUUUGUCAGCGGCUCGUUUGUGCUGCGGCGACGGGCCGCUAAGGACACGGAGGAGGGGAGGAAGUGCUCUCCGCUCGAGGACAAAAGACCAUUGUCCCGUCCGAGCCGACCUGAGAGACGUUCACAUUGGGACAACAAUGAGCGGCGCGGAGAGGAGGACCGAGGGGGGACGGACCGGCGAGGAGGGGACCAGAGUCGGAGUCAAGGAAAGGUUCAGUCCCUGUCCUGAAGGAGGACGGGGCUCACUCACGUCUCUCUGGGACAAAGACAGGAAGACGUUAACACUGUACGCAGUGAUGGGAGAGUUGUUGUCCACGAGACACCUGGACGUUAAAGUCCUGCUGCUGUCUUUGAGCUUCACAGGAGGGGACGGGGACUUUGUUCUGUGUGUUUAUAUCACACAAAGAGUGAAGUGAGACGUGUCCAACCGACGGAGAUCUGUCCUCCAGCAGAUAACUGUCUCUUAUCAUGGUCUCCGCGGUCCAUUUAGGGACAAAUACGUUAAAGCAGGGGAUGCUUUGGGGCGGGGCUCAACAGUGAUUGACAGGUUAACGGCGUCUCUGCAUUGCUCGUCCUCACUACGAAUGAGCGACUUCCUGUUCAUUUGUUUUAAAAGCAAGAUGGCGACGGCUAAAAGACGAACGUGAGGCUUCAAAACGUCACAAACCAAGAAGAGACGUCUUCUUCUUAUCGACACUCUGUACUUCUGUAUUUAUUGGAACUCAACCCUCUUAUUCCAAAUGCAGUUUCCUGUGAAGACGGUAGUUUAUUUUGAAAAUAAUUACUCAUCUAGCGAGCAGGAAUCUGGAGUAACUUUUCCGAGGAUGAGAACAGUCGCGUCGGGAAGCGUGAUUAAGUGAGAAUAAAGGUUUGGGGGGAUUCUUGUUCUUUGUUUUUAAAAGGUGCUGGACAAAUAAAACUGUUUUAUUAUUUUAAGUCUCAUUCCCAGCUGGAAGACGUUGAAGACUCUCUGAUGCGUCUUCCUGUGUGUCGUUCACUUCCUGUUCAGCCAUCAGCAUGAAACAGGAAGCGGUCCCAGCAUGCACUGCUGCACACGUCUCCAUGUGGAGGACAAAGAGCUCUGGAUCCUCAGGAGACAAACAAACGGCAAGAAUCACGAGUCAAUGUGCAAAAACAAAGUUGUUAAAAAAUAAACAUGCAGUUUAAAGGUGACAAACAUAAACAACAUUAUGAGAAUAAUGACGAGGUGAAGUAUUUUUUAAUCAGCCGUUUGUGACGUUUCUGUCUGUUGACAGCAGACGGAGGAAUGAAGAGGAGACUGUCUGUCCUCAUUAGUGAUGAUGGGGGGGGUCACAUGACAUGAGAACAACAGAUGUUAAAGAGGAGCGCUUCCCAAACGCUCUCCGUCCUCAGCACGCCGGUCCAGGCUGCUAAUUGUGCGUCCGUCCCCCCCCCCCCCCUAACCCGUCUCAAUCACCCCCCGGUUGCUGCCUCGCUGGACCAGCUGCUGCCUGUCUGAGACCCUGAGACCCCCACAGCCUGAACAGCAGCUCGGCUUCCCUGGAGAACCACGGACCGUCGGUACAGAGUUCUGACUUUCAAAACAUAACAAACACAACAAAGGAAAAUUCAAAAUCUUACGGUGAAUUUAAUUAUUGAUUAAUUAUUAAGUUGUUACAUGAGUUAAAGUCAUUUAUGUUGUGCUACAAAUCCCAAACUAUGAAGAUUGUAUAUAAUCCUGCAUAUAUAGAAGUGCGGCCUGCUUCUUAAGGACACCGGAGGACAGGGACGUCUCUUUUCCGUCCCACCCUUCACGUCUCGGUCCUCAGGUUUACACGAGUCCAGCGAGCCAACUUGUUUUAACGUCUUACGCUCUCACGUUGUACUUGAAUGCAUCAGACGCUCUGGGUUUAUUCUUGUGACGCUGAUGUGCACUACAUUUCCCAUGAGGCCACAGGUGAGUGUUUGCAGCUUGUUGCAUAAGUUGCGGGAAUGUCCUGUCCCCCCCCCUCUCUCUCUCUCUCUCCCUCUCUCUUUAUAUCUGCUGCCCUUUUCACACCUUAUAAACAAACUAGAAUUGUAACUGAAACCCGACUCAAAUCUAAACUCCCACGUCUGUGACACCUGAAACCCACCAUCUGCGUGUGAAGGUGCACUUGUGAAGUUUGUGCAGAGCAGAAACUCUCCGUUGUGUUUCCACCAUGUCAGCGUGACCUCAGCAGCACUUUUGGUUGUGCAGCUCCUGUUUCUGCAGCCAGGCGGGAUUCAAUGAUUGACAGGUCAGAGGGUUGAACGCUGACUGGUGAGAUUAGACGGUGAAUUAGUGACGCACCUUUAGAAACUUCACUGAUUUCAAUGAUGUUGGUUACUAAUUGGGGCAUAAAUUGCUGCACAGGUUCAAUCAUUGUUUUCAUAUUUUGGGCCCUUCAUUGAGGAGUUUUGCUCUCCUUGUAUCUCCUGCAGUCCAAACUCAUGCAGGUCAGUGAAUCAGGUCAACAUGUUCCCACACUGCGAAGAACCGUCUGUCCCCGCGUCGGUCCUGUGACAGGCUGGCGUCCUGCCCAGGUACAAGCCCCGCCCCUCACCCCGCGUCCACUGAGAUCCCCCCCAGCAUGAUAUCACGUUCACAUAAUGCUUGUCUUUCACAGUUAAUGACAUAAGAACGUUUUAUGGAUCCAACAAGUUCUCUAUCAAGACAUUUCCUGAUCCAAACGAACUGAGCAAAUCAUUAAAAAAACAUAUAAUGAUGGAGAUGAGAUGAGAUGAGAUGAGAUGAGGUGGAGAACGAGAUAAAGGUGAAAAUCAGAUAAAGAUGUCUCAUCUUUAUCUGAUUUUCGACGAUGGUGCAUCAUGGGUAAUAGGUGCUGUGUUGCAGUAAGUCUGCAGGCAGAGGCGGGACCUCCGGUGGUCUCUGCAGGACUCGCUGUCUGGUUUCAGAUAGACAUGAACUAGAGAUGAGUUGAAGAUGUGAUAUAGCGAUGAGGUAAGAUAGACAUGAAGCACCAGAACAGACACAAACAGAUGGAGAAAGCAGGUCCGGGUUCACGGCGAUGGUGCAUCAUGGGUAAUAGGCGCUGUGUUGCAGUAAGUCUGCAGGCAGAGGCGGGACCUCCGGUGGUCUCUGCAGGACUCGCUGUCUGGUUUCAGAUCAGAGCGCUGCAUUCCUGUGUCAUGACAUGUGAUGGUAUUCCAGCACAAACAGUUCUCCGGAUAGAAUUUCCCUGCAGCACCAGUGUGUGUGUGUGUGUGUGUGUGUGUGUGUGUGUGUGUGUGCAGUAGCAGAGCAGGCCGUCCUGUGCUCUCAGUCUGGUCCAGGUUCAGGUCGGAGUCUCGGCGCGCUGCUGACCCGCUCUAAUUGGCUUAUGCUGGUGCACAGACGGUGACAUCAUCUACGCCCAUAUAUGGAGUUGUGUCUCUGCAGCUCUGACAGGAAAACAAGCAGAGUUUCAGUCUUUCCACCAGAUGUUGAACCGGCUGCAAGGAAAGUAACUAUUACAGUUACUCAAGUAUCCUGCCUACACUGUGUGAUUUUAUGUUUCUUUCUACUUCUCCUUCAUGCAUCUAAGAAGUUUAUAUUGUAUUUAACUGCUCCAGAUGUAUUUUUAUUAAUAUAUUUAGUCACUCCACAUAUUUGUAUUAUAUGUGAAAUAUUAUUAAAAAUGAUAUAAAUGUAUUAAAAGAGCUGUAAGAUGAAUGUUUCAAUAAUAAAUAUAUAUUAUUUCACGUUAAUACUUUAGACGUUUUAAAUAAACUGAUCGCAGUACUUCUUCCAGCUCUGGAAAACAUAUAUUUAUAUGUAUAUAUAUAUGUCACAUAUCUCACACAUGUUGUGCAUAAAAGUUGUCUUAUGAAGGGCCACCGAAAAUGCAGCUGCAAUUAUUUACAUAUUUUGAAUGAUUCAUGUGGAUUUUAUUAGUUAUUAGUAGUUAAUUUUAAAUGAUUCAAUGGGGGGAGAGAGAGACAGAUAAGGGGGGGUGAGAGAGAGAGACAAGGGGGGGAGAGAGAGGGACAGACAGACUGCCAGAGAGAGAGAGAGAGAGAGAGAGACAGACAAGGGGGGGAGAGAGAGAGAAAUCCUGUUUCCAGAGAAGCUCCCUCUUCAUUCUUAACAUUCCUGAAGCAUUUGACCUUCUGCCACACUUCCUUUGUUCUAGCUCACUGUGAAAAUCUUUCCAGUAAAAUAUCUAAUCCUUUUAAACAAAUGCACACACACACACACACACACACACACACACACACGCACACACACACGCACACUUAAUGUUCUAACAACCUGCUUCCUUAUUUGGUCAUUGAGAUCAUCUGCAGUCACAGACUGAGAAGCGAUCGUCUUGUUUCCAGAAAUGCUGAAUGUUUUCUCAAACAUCUGAUAGUGUUUAUUUUGGUAAUUUACAGGGUAUGUUGUUAUGCUUCUUUCAUGGACUUCUCUACUAUCUUGUUAGAUAAGUAUUGUUUUUAAGCUGAAUGUGGCCCUAUUGUUCCCACUGUGACAAUAAACCACGUCUUACCUCGUGUUGUUUUAUCUUCUAUGAUAAUAAAAUGACAAAAGGGCAGAACAAUAAACUAAGUAAGAGAAGAGAAGAAAAAGCCAGUAGGUCGAAGGUCAAGAAUGAAUGUCCACAGUGAAGAACACGUGAAGAUGAUAGGUCAGUUAUUUAAUGUUAUUCUCCAAGCUCAUCUUCCUCUUGUAUGAACCAGUUAUUUGUUGGAUUCUACACAACAACGUUUAUUUUAGUUUCAACACUCUGGUUGUAACAUGUAUGUUUACAAUCAGCACAAGAAAUGACGAGGUAGUCGCACAUGUGAACUAUAACGUACUUAAAGCUUACUUGUUUUUUUUUAGGAGAAAAAUCCCGGGUUGAUAAUAAUGAAAAUAAUUACGAACCAGAAUUGAAAUCACAGCUUCUAAACUAAAACAGUCUGGUUUGAAUUGAUAUUUUAACAAAUGUAGCUUUUAUUUUGUUUUAUUAUUAACAACUGCUAGAACUCUGCUCAUAGCUCAUCUGUUUAAAAGUUGUAGAUGAAGCUUUGAAACUGAGGAUAUUAAAACAAUUUGCAGAUCCAAAAAGGGUUACAAAGAGGGGCGGGGCUUAACAAACGGUCAGCUGUGUCAAUCUGGCGUCUGUAUUUCAGUAAUAACCUGUGUUUUCACUGCAGAGGAAACAAUACAGGGCCGAGUGUGUGCGUGUGUGUGGGUCCACGUGUUCGUGUGUACUCUCAGCUAGUCAGGUUACCGUAGCAACGCAGCGUUGUUUGGGAAUCCCCAGUCUGCUGCUGAGGGGUCCAUCUCAGGGGGGAGGGGGGGGGUCUCCAUGCGAUGACCCAGCAUGAGGCCUCCCCCAGUAUGUGUGUGUGUGUGUGUGUGUGUGUGUGUGUGUGUGUUUGGGGGGGUUAAGGGUUGAGGCAACGAGGCCCACGGGGUGACUUCUAAGCUUGUGGAGAAAACCCGAAAAUAAAUCAACGACUCAAUCAACCGAGUCGUGAGCUGCUUCCACUGUUUCCACAUAAACACACACACACACACACACACACACACACGUGCCCACUAACAGAACAGCCCAUUGGAACAAACCCGUGUUGCAGUUUUUAACCUGUAAAAAAACCCGCUCACGCUGGUUUGGGUGAAGGACGCCUUCGGUCGGGCUCCUCUGAGGAUGAACCCUCCAGAAUUUCAUUUCACUUUUGGAGAUAAAGGAAUCACAGAUUUGAUGUAAAGAGGCUGUUUAAUUAUGUCAUAAAAUGAGACUUAUCAGACAGCUACAAUACUGCAAAUAUAUGAGUAACCUAACAAUGAAAAUAUUAACAACUGCCUAACAAUCACAAUUGAUGUGUGUCGUUUUGUGAUGAUUAAAUGUGUUUGCAAAACAGCUUUAGAACUUCAAUAUGUGUGUGUUUGUAUCUGUCGGUGCUGUUCUGGAUAGAUAUCAAUGGAUACUGAUGGGUUAAGAUGGAUAUUGAUUUAUAUUGAUGGAUAUAUAUAUGGGUUUUGAUGGGUUAAAUGGGUUUAUGCUAAACUAAAGAUCCUCACAGAAUCAACAACCACACAACAGAACCUAAUAAAAACUUUAAAUAAAAAAGUUUAACCUGCAACAAUACAACAGUCAUCAACUCUGACGUUCUCCUAUGAGACUCUUUUCUCCCAACAAUCACGUUGAAUGAACCAUAAAGUGAACCAUAUGAAUCUGAACGUCUCAGCAGCUGAUUUCAUAUCUAAUCAUGAAAACAAACAGAGAACGAAGCCAAAAUGUCCGAGUACACUGCUGUCAGAGCACAGACACACACAGACGCACACAAACACACACCAGAUGUCUGAGCGGAUUAACACACACACACACACACACUGAGGGACGCUAGCCGAACUCUCAUUAAUCCACAUGACAAGUUUCUGAUUGAAUUAAAGCGCUUGUUGAAAACGAGUUUUAACGAGACGCAACUUUCUGUUUUCAGUUUCUUGUCCAAUAAAACACAUUUUAUUACCGUGUUCAUUAUCUAUAAUAUAUUUAUUAAUGACCUGAAGCUCCUCAUCAGUUGAUUUACUGUUAUGUCUCAUUGUCACAUGUUAUAUUGUUUAAUAUAUUUUAAUAUAUUUAAAAAAAUAUAUUUUGUCUUUAUUUUCUUAUCUAAAGCACUUUGAAAACCUCUUGUCUCUCGGUCAAUUAAGGUAUUUUAUUACAAUUUGUGUUAUUUCUGCCACAUCUACACAUCCUGCAGUCCUGAUAUAUACAUGUAUUAUGUAACUGUAAAACAUGAGUAAACAAUAAUUACAGGUAAUACAUCGAGCUCAAAAUACAAUAUAAAAUUGAGAUACCGAAAUAAUCUGGCUCUAUUCUAAAUUAUAAAAAUGCUCCAUUGAAACGAGUCCUCAAGAUGCAAAAAUAGCAUCUUCUAAAGUCUAAUCUAAUGUCAUUAUAAAAAAUGAUACUGUUCAUUUAUCAUCACAAAUAUGAACAAGGGCAUUUUAAUAUUAUAGCUUACUAAAGUUAAGCAGGUGUUAGACACUUUAUGUGCUACUUGACUUUACAGAGUAGAUCAGUAUGACAGUGCAUUCUUUUUAGUUGUUAUAUUUUAGUUAUUUAAUGCAUUAAAUAAUAACAGAAAGUGGAAAGUUGCACAAAACAUAUAUACUCAAAUGAAACACAACAUUGGAAAAUGUCUUUUCUGUUCAAGAAACAAAACUUUGAGUUUAAUAAAUGAAUGAUCACGUGAUUGUGUUUUUUUUAGACAAGUGAGAAAUCUCUGUCUCUUUAGUUUCUGAACUUUGACCUUUAAACUGGACCUCAAAGAUCUUCACUGAGGGACCAGUUUGGGUUUCUGUCCCCCGGCACUGAAGCUCCGUUGUUCCCCUCGGUCUAUUCAGAGGACACUUGAGCGUCUCCUCGUCCACGUGUCCCUGCACUGCUGCUAUCUAUAUCUCUGGAUGGACACACAGAGACUCUUUAAGUGCUGACUAACAGCUGCAGGGGACAAACGGACUGAUUGGCUGUGACAGCCUUUUGUCUACACACACACACACACACACACAAAGACAGGCAUUGAUGAGGCUGCAUGUGACUGUGACUGACCAACAACAUUCAUUACAUAAUGACACCACCGAGUCUUAUUUUCAUCCUUUCAAACUGCUUUUUGUCUCGUAUUUAUAUUUCUGUGACUAAAGCUAACGGCGACCCGGGCGACCCAAGCGCCGCCUCUCGCUAAUUGCUCCCAUGCCCAUCUGCAGAGUUAUGAAAUGCUGAACUUAGCUAAACGACGGCUGAUUGUCGGGACAACAAGGUCAAUGUUUGUCUUUCUUCUGUUGACGCGACAAAUCAGAGAACAACACGACAUGACUGAAAAAACCCAAACAGGAAGUGAACGUCGCUUCUUAAAGGUUCACGUUUCGGCUCCUCGGCACUAAAAACUCAACUUGGAUGUUCAUUGUUUUUAUUAUGGUUGAAUUAUUUAUUUUCCUGAUCCUAUCCAUGAAUUAAUUUACCACCAAAGUGCACAUUAAUCAACAUUUUCUACCUCAAAGGAAAUGUGCCAAAAUGUGAGCGCAAUGAGCUUGAGCUCCUUGUACUAACGUUAGCUUAACCUCAGGCCAACGUUAGCUCAACGUCAGCUCAACGGCGGCUCAACAUUAGCUCCACGUCAGCUCAACGUUAGCUCAACACCAGUUCAACAUUAGCUUAAUGUCAGCUCAACGUUAGCUCAACGUUAGCUCAACGUUAGAGGCUGAUGAGGCUGGUAGAAUGAUAAGUGAUAAACCAGUGAAGACGUAGAUGGGGAGGUGGGUGGAUGCGUAGCAGCGUCAUGAAUGCACUGAAGGUAUAACGGCAAACAUAUUUUAAAUGAGCCAGGGGCUAACAAUGCAAUUGUUUCAUUGUGCGUUUGGGAAGAGGAGCUGAUCUCGACAUCUGAUUUAAAGCACUGACAGCCUGUCUUAACGGGGAGGGAUCGGCUGAUGAUUGAGGAAUAAAGAGGAAUAAAGACUAAAAUCACCUGGAGCUCCAUGAAAUAAAAUUUAAACUGCGCUCAGUGACGCAUUCAGACACCGUCUUCUGAAGUGAUUUAGGAGCUGUGAACACGUCACAGGUUGUGUCAGUCAAUGAGUCAGUGAACGCGCCUUAAGGCGCCGCCACGCUGCUGCCGCUUGUUUUCAUUCUUAACACCGAGUCCAAAACCACCCUAUCGUUUUGCAUUCGAAGUGAAGUUACAGAACAAAAGGUCCAAAGAGCCACGUGAUGAUGUGAGUCAGUUAAUUACUGUAGCACACACACACACACACACACACAGACACACUGCCCUGUGUUCACAUUGGGGGUCAAACAUGGCCGCGGCCAUGUGUGUUUCUGGUCACAUGACGGCGUCUGUUUGGGCCGCACAAAGACGCGGCUGUACAUGAUUUGGGGUGUUUCCCUCUCAAAACAUACGGCGGAGGAGGGGAGUCUCGUUUCCAGGUAACGGCAUCACUGCCCGGUCAGUAACUCCGCCGUGUUAUCGGGGAGCCGAUGCAGCUGUGACACAUCUGGGAUGAGAUGGGGUUCGUGAGCAAGAACCGAGGGUUUCUGCCGAGUCAUGUCCGGCUUCUUCAUCUCUUUCUCCUGUUUAUAUAUACCGCUAUAACUACUACCACUGUGCUAUUACUAUGAAUACCACUAUAAAUACCCCCACUGUACCACUACUACUUUAAAUAUUCCCAUUAUACGUAGGCACACCGUAAAUACCACUUAUUCAAAUAAUACCACAAGACUAUUACUAGGAUUACCACUAUCUAUGCAUCAUUAGGCUGGGCUCCUUUAACCCUAUAAAUACUUUUGUGUGUCUGUGUGUAACGGAGUGAGUCACCCCAGGUUCAACAACAAAACAACACCACAAGUAAAUCAAUAAUCCACUCAAAGUUAAAUAAUCUUAUGUUAGAUUCUCAUUACAUGAUUCCAUUGUUUUCAUUAAAUCGAUGAAAAACAAAAACUUGUUUAUUGCUCAUUUUCCUUGUCUAGUCGUGUGUGUGUGUGUGUGUGUGUGUGAUAAUGAUGAUGAUUCAUGAGGAGAAAGUCUUGAGACAAUGACAUCAUCAGCAACAUCUGGAUCCAGAGUCUGUGUGUGUGUGUGUGUGUGUGUGUGUGUGUGUGUGUGUGACUCAACGUCUCUAUCACUGAAUCUCUGUCUGCUCUUAAGACUGAAAACAUCAUUUAUUUUUAGAAAUAUGAAACAGACCUCAGAUGUGUGUAUUUUCCAUCUGAUCCAAUAUAUUUAGUCGAAGAAAGAAGAUUUUAUAAGACAAAUAAAACAAACUCUUUCUACAGAAUCUUUUUAUCUUAAAUCCCCCUUAUUUUAUUUUAUCUCUCUUCGCCAGUUUGUUUGUAACUCUGAGGACAAACUGUUUCUAACUCAGGUGUGUGCGCGUGUGUUUGUGUGUGUGUGUGCGUGUGUGUUUGCGUGUGCGUGUGUGUGCGUGCGUGUGCGUGGGAGGGGUUAUGUCAUGCUUCUUAUGUAACACACUCAAAGGAAGCUGCUCCUUUCAAUGAAUCCAAACAAACUCUUUGGUCUCCCAUUAAAGUAAUCAAUAUGCAUCUUUAUGUCAUGGAUCACAUUGCUGGAGCAGCGUGUUCUCUGGUUCCACCUGCAUGUGUGUGUGUGUGUGUGUGUGUGUGUGUGUGUGUUUGUGUGCAGACAAAUGAACAGAAGAAAGAACAAUGGUGGUGUUUAAAUUUCCAUUAACCUUCGCUCCUUUUUCACAACAAUAUUUACAUCUUGCCUGUCUCGUGUUUUCAAACUUGUGCGAUGUUUCUGCAAAGAGGGACUGCAGAGGCAUUUUCCUAGAAAUCCUUCAGCUGAACCCUGAGGUACACACACACACACAGAGACACACACACACACGCACACACACACGCACACACACACACACACCGUGAACACACUCUGAGGCACACAGACCCACACGGACCCACACGGCCCUGCAGAGAGCUGAAUGCCAGUGUUUUGUCCCUCCGUAAACCGGCCCACCCAGUAACAAGGACUUUGUCUACACACUUCCAAGAACACCACCUGAACUCUGACUUCUGAGGUGUGUGCGUGUGUGUGCGUGUGUGUAGCUGUGCAUGUGUCUGUCUGUGUGUGUGUGUGUGUUAAGAUAAUCACAGUUAGAACUCAUGUCAUAUGUGUUUUAUAUGCUUAAUGUGCGCUUGUUUAUAGCUGAAGGUCCGCAGGAGGUCUGCAGGAGGAGGCAGCUGGUGCUGGUCUUCAGGGGAGGGGGGUCUGUUUUUUUUUGAGGGUGGGGGGGUUCUUCAGCCCUCCUCCUCCAGGUUCUGAGUCCAUGAGCAGCUCGCUGGGGGGUCAUCCUCACCAACAUUCUCCAUACAGCAUCACACACACCUGCUCCAGCUGAUCACUUGCCCGACAGGUGUCGCCAAGUGUCUCCAUAAGAACUGUUCUCACAAGACUGUCUCCAUAAGGACAGCUCUCAUUAGGAGU
This is a long non-coding RNA of Gasterosteus aculeatus aculeatus (three-spined stickleback), 14671 nucleotides long. Lineage: Eukaryota; Metazoa; Chordata; Actinopteri; Perciformes; Gasterosteidae. The record is from Ensembl.